Peromyscus maniculatus bairdii (prairie deer mouse) is the source of this 402-nucleotide non-coding RNA. NCBI's taxonomy places the organism in Eukaryota, Metazoa, Chordata, Mammalia, Rodentia, Cricetidae. The record is from RefSeq and is a predicted model, not a curated record.
GGCAGCCUUUAGUUUGGAAUAAACAGUCGUCCUCGCGCUGUCCCAUGUAACUGACACCUAAGUGUCUCCCCAGGGACAGGCUGGAAUUUCAGGUGUCCAGCCUCUAACCCCCCAGGGUUAGAGGAGGGUGCUGCAGAGGAGACAUUGGUCCGUCCCCAAGAAGCUGCUGCAUGCCGAGGCUUGCUUUGGAGAUAGUCGUGUGACCUGCCAGCCCAAGGAGAGUCGCCCUUGGAACUUCAGCUGGAAGCAUCUGGAAAUAAGCACUCCUUCGGUGGUGUCCCUCCUUGUCACAGCUUGGACAUGGCCUCCUGAGGAGACCAAAAGAGAAGAAAACAACCAUUGAGCCCCUUUGGCUAGAGUACAAGCCAAUUGUGAGAACAAAUAAAUGACCUUACAUGCUGA